UCCGCACAGAGCUUCAUAACCUCUUCAUGGACUUUUUAUCUUCAAGCCGAUGACGGAAAAAUAGUUAUAUUCCAGUCUAAGCCAGAAAUCCAGUACGCACCACAUUUGGAGCAGGAGCCUACAAAUUUGAGAGAAUCAUCUCUAAGCAAAAUGUCCUCAGAUCUGCAAAUGAGAAAUUCACAAGCGCACAGGAAUUUUCUUGAAGAUGGAGAAAGUGAUGGCUUUUUAAGAUGCCUCUCUCUGUAUUAACUCUGGGUGGAUUUUAACUACAACUCUUGUCCUCUCGGUGAUGGUAUUGCUUUGGAUUUGUUGUGCAACUGUUGCUACAGCUGUGGAGCAGUAUGUUCCCUCUGAGAAGCUGAGUAUCUAUGGUGACUUGGAGUUUAUGAAUGAACAAAAGCUAAACAGAUAUCCAGCUUCUUCUCUUGUGGUUGUUAGAUCUAAAACUGAAGAUCAUGAAGAAGCAGGGCCUCUACCUACAAAAGUGAAUCUUGCUCAUUCUGAAAUUUAAGCAUUUUUCUUUUAAAAGACAAGUGUAAUAGACAUCUAAAAUUCCACUCCUCAUAGAGCUUUUAAAAUGGUUUCAUUGGAUAUAGGCCUUAAGAAAUCACUAUAAAAUGCAAAUAAAGUUACUCAA
This 637-nucleotide long non-coding RNA is filed under the name Homo sapiens (human). RNAcentral's name for it is "HSALNT0006995". Lineage: Eukaryota; Metazoa; Chordata; Mammalia; Primates; Hominidae. The record is from RNAcentral.